This 429-nucleotide ribosomal RNA is filed under the name Acidobacteriota bacterium. RNAcentral describes it as "Acidobacteria bacterium partial 16S ribosomal RNA". It matches the Rfam family "Bacterial small subunit ribosomal RNA", at positions 355 to 776 of the family's 1533-position model. The record is from RNAcentral. Lineage: Bacteria; Pseudomonadati; Acidobacteriota.
UGGGGAAUUUUGGACAAUGGGGGAAACCCUGAUCCAGCCAUCCCGCGUGUGCGAUGAAGGCCUUCGGGUUGUAAAGCACUUUUGGCAGGAAAGAAACGUCAUGGGUUAAUACCCCGUGAAACUGACGGUACCUGCAGAAUAAGCACCGGCUAACUACGUGCCAGCAGCCGCGGUAAUACGUAGGGUGCAAGCGUUAAUCGGAACUACUGGGCGUAAAGCGUGCGCAGGCGGUUCGGAAAGAAAGAUGUGAAAUCCCAGAGCUCAACUUUGGAACUGCAUUUUUAACUACCGGGCUAGAGUGUGUCAGAGGGAGGUGGAAUUCCGCGUGUAGCAGUGAAAUGCGUAGAUAUGCGGAGGAACACCGAUGGCGAAGGCAGCCUCCUGGGAUAACACUGACGCUCAUGCACGAAAGCGUGGGGAGCAAACAGG